Long non-coding RNA from Gallus gallus (chicken), 799 nucleotides. Lineage: Eukaryota; Metazoa; Chordata; Aves; Galliformes; Phasianidae. The record is from Ensembl.
CGUGGGCUCAGUGUUCUGCAUGGGAACAACCCCUAAGGAGUGAUCACAGCUCUCCAAAAAGGGCAGCUGGAGUUGUUUACAUUGCCACUGCCCCCAGCUCUGUUUGUGUGAGAUGCUCAGGAUUAGGGGCUGCCUCUGGUCAUUCUGUAGAGAUAUCGAUCCUCGGGAGCGGUGCAGUGCUGGGAAUAGAGCGAAGCAGGGGGUGGAGAAAUCUCUGCUGCCUGUUUUCUCAUCUCACAACUCCCCGAAGAGACAGAGCCUUCCCCGUCCCGCAUAGCCAGGCAUGACAGAUCAAAACCACUGGAGACAUGCACUGUGCCUUUCAGGAACCAAAUAAUCUCAAUCCUUUGAGAAAACUCAAAGGGCGAAGGCAAAGCAUCGGGCCUGCCGAGAACAAUGGCGGUGCAUCCCCCGACGGACGCGCGGAUCUCCAAUGCUGUGUGGUUAUUAAGAGAAAUAAAACAACAAUAAUUCCUUCCAGUGAGAAUCCCCGGGUCAAUUACUUGUUGCCACGGGGAGAUUUCCCGGGAGUUUUAUUGUUAUUAUCGCUAUUCAGUCAUUAUGUGCAGCAACACAAAGGUGAGUUUUUACGCAAAGGAGCGCAAUGUUGGGAAAAUUGUGAGCAAUGCACAGAUGAGGUGGGAGAGAUCAAAGCCCUGGCAACUCCUGCAGCACCUUGGAGCCACUGCUGGCCAUGCACUGCUUCCUUCAAAGGCCUGAAGGGUUUCUCCUCGCUUUGGAAGGUGAGGUUGCAGGACACAGCCCCACCGCCUCGCCCCCACCUCUCCAGAUGGUGCAG